Molecule: transfer RNA, 74 nt
Filed under: Archaeoglobus fulgidus
Lineage: Archaea; Methanobacteriati; Methanobacteriota; Archaeoglobi; Archaeoglobales; Archaeoglobaceae
Description: tRNA-Pro
Rfam family: tRNA
About the family: Transfer RNA (tRNA) molecules are approximately 80 nucleotides in length.
Source: RNAcentral
GGGGCCGUGGGGUAGCCUGGUGAUCCUGCGGCGUUCGGGACGCCGCGACCCGAGUUCAAAUCUCGGCGGCCCCA